AUAAAUCACCGGGGGUGCUGUUAAUAAUGAUAGCUGAGAAAAACCCUUAUAACCUGAUCCGGAUAACGCCGGCGGAGGGAGUGUGUAAAACUGUUAAU
This 98-nucleotide non-coding RNA is filed under the name endosymbiont of Acanthamoeba sp. UWC8. Its description in RNAcentral is "TPP riboswitch aptamer (THI element)". It matches the Rfam family "TPP riboswitch aptamer (THI element)". Rfam says of the family: Vitamin B(1) in its active form thiamin pyrophosphate (TPP) is an essential coenzyme that is synthesised by coupling of pyrimidine and thiazole moieties in bacteria. The previously detected thiamin-regulatory element, thi box was extended, resulting in a new, highly conserved RNA secondary structure, the THI element, which is widely distributed in eubacteria and also occurs in some archaea. Analysis of operon structures identified a large number of new candidate thiamin-regulated genes, mostly transporters, in various prokaryotic organisms. The record is from Rfam by way of RNAcentral. RNAcentral also lists the same sequence under 1 other name. Lineage: Bacteria; Pseudomonadati; Pseudomonadota; Alphaproteobacteria; Holosporales; Holosporaceae.